GACGAACGCUGGCGGCGUGCUUAACACAUGCAAGUCGAACGGAAAGGCCCUGCUUUUGUGGGGUGCUCGAGUGGCGAACGGGUGAGUAACACGUGAGUAACCUGCCCUUGACUUUGGGAUAACUUCAGGAAACUGGGGCUAAUACCGGAUAGGAGCUCCUGCUGCAUGGUGGGGGUUGGAAAGUUUCGGCGGUUGGGGAUGGACUCGCGGCUUAUCAGCUUGUUGGUGGGGUAGUGGCUUACCAAGGCUUUGAUGGGUAGCCGGCCUGAGAGGGUGACCGGCCACAUUGGGACUGAGAUACGGCCCAGACUCCUACGGGAGGCAGCAGUGGGGAAUAUUGCACAAUGGGCGGAAGCCUGAUGCAGCAACGCCGCGUGCGGGAUGAAGGCCUUCGGGUUGUAAACCGCUUUCGCCUGUGACGAAGCGUGAGUGACGGUAAUGGGUAAAGAAGCACCGGCUAACUACGUG
Molecule: ribosomal RNA, 468 nt
Filed under: uncultured bacterium
Lineage: Bacteria
Description: partial 16S ribosomal RNA
Rfam family: Bacterial small subunit ribosomal RNA
Source: RNAcentral